AUGCGACUGAGUCUCAAAGCAUUUGCUUUCAGCCGCAGAGAGAAGAAGCUGCCCAAGAAUGGAAAGGAAGAAAUAUAUCACAUCAUCUGUCUGUCCACAGGCUUUCCUCUGGGCUUAUGGAGAUUUCCUAGGGGUAAUUAUUUCCCAUUGACUAAGACCACAGGACAGUGUGAACACCUAACAAAUAGUAUGAGGCUGAUAUGGAGAAUAUGCCAAGUCAACUGGAUGAGUCAGCACAGGCAGCUCAAUGUCACUUUUUCUGUUGGAUGAAGUAUGAAGGAGACAGUGAGUGUUGAAAGCUUUGCCUCUUUUUGUAAUUUUGUGAUUCGCCUUCAGAGGAUGGGGUGAGGUGAGUCCUAUGGAAAGGAUGGGGGGCAGCAAUUUCCCUUGUGAGCUACAGGCUCGAGGAGUAGGAGAUC
Molecule: long non-coding RNA, 419 nt
Filed under: Corvus moneduloides (New Caledonian crow)
Lineage: Eukaryota; Metazoa; Chordata; Aves; Passeriformes; Corvidae
Description: lncRNA (ENSCMUG00000013151.2)
Source: RNAcentral